This 3321-nucleotide ribosomal RNA is filed under the name Triticum aestivum (bread wheat). Its description in RNAcentral is "partial small subunit ribosomal RNA". Lineage: Eukaryota; Viridiplantae; Streptophyta; Magnoliopsida; Poales; Poaceae. The record is from RNAcentral.
AUGGCACAUGGACGUCAAAGGUUGCUCUGCUUUGAGUAUGUACCUAAAGGAAGUCUUGAUGAGUAUAUCAAAGAUGCAUCUAAUGGACAUGACUGGAUUAAGACCUAUGCGAUAAUAAAUGGCAUUUGUGAAGGUUUACAUUACCUUCACCAGAAUCAUAUUGUUCACUUAGAUCUCAAGCCCGCAAAUAUUCUGCUGGAUGGCAAUAUGAUGCCAAAAAUUACCGACUUUGGGCUAUCAAGGUGCUUUGAUGAGAAGCAAACCCAAGCUAUUACCAAAAAUAUGGCUGGCACAUUAGGGUAUAUCGCACCAGAGUUUUAUAAUGGAUACAUACACACGAUCACAUACAAGUCGGACAUAUAUAGUCUUGGUGUCAUAAUUAUAGAGAUGCUGACUGGAAAGAAGUGGUAUCCAGCAUAUCCUGAUGUUCAUAAUGUAAGAACGGUACUUGAAAGUUGGAUGAAUAAGUUGGGGAAAUCACAGCAGGACACACAACUGAAACAGAUACGGUUAUGCACCGAGCUAGGGAUAGAGUGCACUGAUGGUAAACAAGCGAACAGGCCAGAUACAACGCAUAUUAUCACUAGACUUGGUGAAACAGAAAAUGCAUACAUCAUAACUGGUGUUAGUAGUUCAACGGUACCACAGGUAGAAAGGACUUUAGAAAAGCCGGAGGAUGGCACCAACAACUUGCUUCCGAGGAGGAAUAUUGUUCAUCUCAUGAAUGAUAAUGCCGAGAAAAAUGUUACUCCUUGGCAGGGGGCAGCUAAGAAUCUUCAUGCAACCCAAGAAUCUCUCAAUGAUAAUCAUCAUAUUGUUGCAGUCGAGUCUGGUUCAUCUACUGAGAAUCUUCAUGCAACCCAAGAAUGUCUCAAUGAUUAUCAUCACAUUGUUGCAGUCAAGUCUGGUCCAUCUAUGUCUGCUGAGGACUGUAACCUUAGAGAGGCCCAAAAAUGUCUCAAUCAUAAUCUUCACAUUUUUGCAGACGAGUUUGGUCCAUCUAUGUCUGUUGAGGCUCGUAACCUUCAAGAGGCUCUCCAACUCAUUAAAGAUGAUCCAGUGGGAGUGAUUGGAAUAUGGGGUCCAGGUGGAGUGGGGAAAACACACCUUUUGGACAAUAUAAAAAAGUCACUUGAUGGAAACAUGACCUUUAACUAUGUUUUAGAAGUGACGAUUUCAAGGGGGCGUUCGGUGGAAAAGAUCCAAACUGAUAUUGCACAACAACUCAAUCUGGAUGAAUUCAAGAAAGAUUCUGAUGUGCAAUUUAGAUGUCGUGUCAUUUAUAAUUUUUUGAAGAAGAGAAGCUUUCUUAUAUUGUUAGAUGACCUUUGGGACCAAAUUGAUCUGCAAGCAGUUGGCAUACCAUAUCCUCUUGGAAGUGUAAACCAAAUCAGGAGAAAAGUGGUACUCACAACUAGAUCAAGAAAAGUUUGUGGUCAAAUGGAGGUGAGAAAAGAAUUAAAAAUAGCUUGUCUGCAGGAGGAUGAGGCAUGGCAACUAUUCAAAAAGAAUGUCCGUCAUGAAACUUUUUCUUCUAAUCCCUGCAUUGAAACUCUUGGAAAAGAACUUCUGAAGGAAAUGAAGGGAUUGCCAUUAGCUUUGGUAACUAUAGGACAGACAAUGUAUGCAAAAACUGAUACGGCUGAGUGGGAAUAUGCCAUCCAAUAUAUGAAACAGUCAUGUUGUGUUAAUGAUGACCCGCUAGAUAUGGAAAAAGUUGUUUUCAGGCAGGUAAAGUUUAGUUUUGAUAGUUUACGAAACAACAUUUUGAGGAAAUGUUUCUUGACUUGUGCACUGUGGCCAGAGGAUCAGAAAAUUCCUAGAGAAAUGCUCGCUCGAUGUUGGAUUGGCUUAGGUCUCGUGUCUGAACCAAACAUACAAAGUUCCUACAGAACAGCAUAUUAUCUGAUGGGCGAACUUUCAGCUGCAUGCUUGUUAGAGCAGGACCAUGGAAUUAUAAUGUUCAAUGAAUAUCUUGGAAUGCAUGAUUAUGUUAAAAUGCAUGAUGUGGUUCGUGACAUGGCUUUAUGGAUCGCUUGUGGCUGCGGUAAGAAUAAUAGCAAGUGGUUUGUCCGCGCAGGAGUUGGUUGGGACGAAAAAAUUAACAUCCCUUGGAGUCAAGUUGAAUGUGUCUCAUUGAUGAUGAACUGGUUGUUGGAUUUUCCUCCUGUUGACUCUAAUCCUUGCCACAUGAGGAUGUUAUGCCUUGGAAAUGACGACUUGAGUAGAUUACCAUAUUACGAAAUCAGAAAAUUCACUUCACUGACAUACCUGGAUUUGAGCUUCAACAAGCUGGGUUUCAUACCUAAAGAAUUAUGUUCCUUGGCAAACCUGGAACACCUUGAUUUAUCGGGAAAUAGUGAUAUAAAAGUAGUGCCUCACUGUUUUGGAAACCUCAUUAAGCUCAAGUUCUUGUACCUAGAAGAGACUAGGAUACAGAUGUUACCAGAGGGGGUCAUAUCUAAACUUCAAGCAUUGCAAGUAAUAGAUAUCAGAACCCAUUGUUUGCCACGUCCAGUUUCUGAGAACAUAAGAAUGCUUCGAGAGUUGGGCGCCCUAACCAACUUGAAAGCAGUUGGUAUCUAUGUGGAGUAUCUAUGUGCACUACUAAAAAAAGGUGCUGACCUCCCCAUUAGGUAUUUAAUUUUGGAGGAUCAUGAGACACGUGUACUCAAUUUCUCGGAUAUUCUGUCGCAUGACUUUGCACGAAGGACCUUGUAUGAACUAACAAUUCACAUGCUAAACUUGGAUCAAAUAAUAACAAGAAAAGAGUCGGCACUACCAAGCUGUUGUUUUGGUGCUCUCAAUCAGCUCCAAUUAUCAGAGUUUGAUAACUUAAGAGAGAUAACUUGGAUGGAAACAUGUCCAGCAUCUCUAUUCCCAAAGCUCACGUGUUUGUUUGUGGACUACUGGCAAGAGCUAAAACACCUCUCUUGGGCGAUGUAUCUGCCUUGCCUCGAACAACUCCACAUAUUUAACUGUAAUGUGAUGCAGCAACCAUUUGUGAUGCACCAUGAUGAUAACAAGUUCGGCGAACAAGACAGUUCAAAUACAUUUCCCCGCCUCAAAUAUCUGACAUUUUCAUGUUGCUCAUCGCUGGUCAGUAUUGGUGAUCCCGAUGUGACAUUCCCAUCCCUAGAGCGACUGGAGUUUGAACAUUGUGCAGAAUUGAAGAGUCUUCCUUUCAACAUGGACAACUUGCCACGAAAACUGCAGUUUGUGCAGAUUGAUGUUAAAUCCUGGGAGAGAAUGAAAGGGGAAUUGGAAGAAGGUGUCAAAUCUUUCCUGGAACCCAAGCUUAAAUUGUUUGGAGUACUAUGA